Molecule: ribosomal RNA, 530 nt
Filed under: uncultured bacterium
Lineage: Bacteria
Description: partial 16S ribosomal RNA
Rfam family: Bacterial small subunit ribosomal RNA
Source: RNAcentral
GACGAACGCUGGCGGCGUGCCUAAUACAUGCAAGUCGAACGAACUCUGGUAUUGAUUGGUGCUUGCAUCAUGAUUUACAUUUGAGUGAGUGGCGAACUGGUGGGUAACACGUGGGAAACCUGCCCAGAAGCGGGGGAUGACACCUGGAAACAGAUGCUAAUACCGCAUAACAACUUGGACCGCAUGGUCCGAGCUUGAAAGAUGGCUUCGGCUAUCACUUUUGGAUGGUCCCGCGGCGUAUUAGCUAGAUGGUGGGGUAACGGCUCACCAUGGCAAUGAUACGUAGCCGACCUGAGAGGGUAAUCGGCCACAUUGGGACUGAGACACGGCCCAAACUCCUACGGGAGGCAGCAGUAGGGAAUCUUCCACAAUGGACGAAAGUCUGAUGGAGCAACGCCGCGUGAGUGAAGAAGGGUUUCGGCUCGUAAAACUCUGUUGUUAAAGAAGAACAUAUCUGAGAGUAACUGUUCAGGUAUUGACGGUAUUUAACCAGAAAGCCACGGCUAACUACGUGCCAGCCGCCGCGGUAA